CUUAUUGAUGGCUCAACAUUAAAGUACUUUACAAGUACAUAUAAUAUUUAAAUUGGUUAUGUAAUUAGUGCAUUAAUGCUUAACCCCAUGAAUAAUGUACA
This is a non-coding RNA of Saguinus imperator (black-chinned emperor tamarin), 101 nucleotides long. Lineage: Eukaryota; Metazoa; Chordata; Mammalia; Primates; Cebidae. The record is from Rfam.